Molecule: ribosomal RNA, 813 nt
Filed under: Papulaspora equi
Lineage: Eukaryota; Fungi; Ascomycota; Sordariomycetes; Sordariales
Description: eukaryotic LSU rRNA
Rfam family: Eukaryotic large subunit ribosomal RNA
Source: RNAcentral
UUGCCCCAGUAACGGCGAGUGAAGCGGCAACAGCUCAAAUUUGAAAUCUGGCCUCGGCCCCGAGUUGUAAUUUGCAGAGGAUGCUUCUGGCGAGGCACCGACCGAGUCCCCUGGAACGGGGCGCCAUAGAGGGUGAGAGCCCCGUAUGGUCGGACGCUUAGCCUGUGUGAAGCUCCUUCGACGAGUCGAGUAGUUUGGGAAUGCUGCUCAAAAUGGGAGGUAAAUUUCUUCUAAAGCUAAAUACCGGCCAGAGACCGAUAGCGCACAAGUAGAGUGAUCGAAAGAUGAAAAGCACUUUGAAAAGAGGGUUAAAUAGCACGUGAAAUUGUUGAAAGGGAAGCGCUUGUGACCAGACUUGCGCCUGGCCGAUCAUCCGGGGUUCUCCCCGGUGCACUCGGCCAGGCUCAGGCCAGCAUCGGUUCUCUCGGGGGGACAAAGGCUCCGGGAACGUAGCUCCCUCCGGGGAGUGUUAUAGCCCGGGGCGUAAUGCCCUCGAGGGGACCGAGGACCGCGCUUCGGCAAGGAUGCUGGCGUUACGGUCAUCAGCGACCCGUCUUGAAACACGGACCAAGGAGUCAAGGUUUUGCGCGAGUGUUUGGGUGUAAAACCCGCACGCGUAAUGAAAGUAAACGUAGGUGAGAGCUUCGGCGCAUCAUCGACCGGCCCAGAUGUUCUCGGAAGGGCCUGAGUAGGAGCGUUAAGCCUUGGACCCGAAAGAUGGUGAACUAUGCUUGGAUAGGGUGAAGCCAGAGGAAACUCUGGUGGAGGCUCGCAGCGGUUCUGACGUGCAAAUCGAUCGUCAAAUCUGAGCAU